RNAcentral lists this unclassified non-coding RNA (117 nucleotides) under uncultured fungus. Its description in RNAcentral is "sequence contains ITS1". Lineage: Eukaryota; Fungi. The record is from RNAcentral.
CGGCCUAAUGGCUUCGGGCGCAACUUGCGUUCAAAGACUCGAUGGUUCACGGGAUUCUGCAAUUCACACCAAGUAUCGCAUUUCGCUGCGUUCUUCAUCGAUGCGAGUGACCUUUGC